Ficedula albicollis (Collared flycatcher) is the source of this 9556-nucleotide RNA transcript. It is a transcript of the gene named COP9 signalosome subunit 7B, with no coding region annotated. The transcript has 8 exons. NCBI's taxonomy places the organism in Eukaryota, Metazoa, Chordata, Aves, Passeriformes, Muscicapidae. The record is from RefSeq and is a predicted model, not a curated record.
CGGCGCCGCCAUCAUGGCGGCCUGAGGCGCGGUGGGUUCGGCGCCGGGAGCGGCGGGACGGGAGGCCGGGAGCGGAGAGAUUGAAAACCUAGAAUGGCAGGAGAACAGAAGCCGUCCUGCAAUCUUCUAGAGCAGUUCAUUUUACUAGCCAAAGGAACAAGUGGCUCAGCUCUGACUGCUCUUAUAAGUCAAGUGCUGGAGGCUCCUGGGGUUUAUGUCUUCGGAGAGCUGUUGGAGUUAACAAAUGUGAAAGAGCUUGCUGAGGGGUCUAAUGCUGCCUAUUUCCAGCUGCUGAACCUGUUUGCUUACGGAACGUACCGUGACUAUGUAGCAAACAAAGAUAACCUGCCUGAAUUAACAGUGACUCAGAAAAACAAGCUGAAACACCUGACGAUUGUAAGCCUGGCUUCCCGAAUGAAGUGCAUUCCCUAUUCUGUGUUGCUGAAGGACCUGGAUAUGAGGAAUCUGAGGGAGCUGGAAGAUCUCAUUAUUGAAGCUGUUUACACAGAUAUUAUCCAGGGGAAGUUGGAUCAACGAAACCAGGUGUUAGAGGUGGAUUUUUGUAUCGGCAGAGACAUCCAGAAGAAGGACAUCAGUAACAUUGUCAAAACACUCCAGGAAUGGUGUGAUGGCUGUGAAGCAGUUCUUUUAGGAAUUGAGCAGCAAGUACUUAGAGCCAACCAGUACAAAGAGAACCACCACCGAACUCAGCAGCAGGUAGAGAUGGAGGUCACAAACAUAAAGAAAACAUUAAAAGCUACAGCCUCGUCGUCGGCACAGGAGAUGGAACAGCAGCUGGUAGAGCGAGAGUGCCCUCCACACACAGAACAAAGGCAGCCCACAAAGAAGAUGUCCAAAGUCAAAGGGCUGGUCUCCAGCCGUCACUAGAACAUAUCAUCUGAACGUCAUUCGGUCAGGAAUGACAACAGGAGCAGCAGAAAGGGCCUGCGUCUCCUUUUCAGUGGGUUCUGGGCCAGUCCCUUCCCGGCUGGCAAGUCAAAGCCCUGUUUGAGCAGCUCCCAGUUAGCAGCACCUGGCUAAGUUACACUGUGCAGCUCCUAUGAGUUUUCAGGGUGUCCCUGUUCUGGUCCUGUCGAGAGGGACUUUUAGAGAAAGGGAUUAACCAAAAGGGGCAGGAAAAAACCAAAAUAUCUGUGGACCAUUUUGCUCCCUCCCAGCUAGUUCAUUGCUGCUUAACCUUGAGGAAGCUGCUGUACUAAAUCAGAUCAUGGGAGAGCUUCUAUAGCAAGCAUUUGAAUCCCAGGGUUGAAGUGUGGCUACCAAAGCCAGGCUGGGAGUGAGGAAGCCAUCAACACAGAUCUUUUCAUUCCCAAAGGGAGCACAGGAAGGUUUCUAGGCCAGGAACUGCUUUACAUGGAAGCCUUCAGCCUUUCCACUACCCCUGUCUAUUUUAAACUGGGGUGAAAUUCACACUACCUCGCUCUGUGAAGAUGAGUUCCAGUGCUGGGCUGUUUACUUAUCUGUCUGUUUACUGCCCUUACUAAGCCCUUUAAUCUCUCACAGAUUUAAGGCACUGUUCUGCAUCUCUGAGGCAUCAGUACAAUAAGGAGGAAGCAAGCUGCUCUUUCACACAGACCUUGCAGGUGGUUAGGGGCAUGCUAGAAACUAUUCUUCCUGAAUGUGAUGUGUCCUCCCAGAGCUGCUUGUGAGUUGUUUCCCCCAGUGAUACCUUCAGAGGGUAAUGCAUUCGCUCUUCCUUGGAUGCUGGCGACAGUGGGAGAGGAGCCUGUUUGGCACCGAGGCAGGCUGGUGGCCCAGGACCCACUGGCAGGGGUCGCAGCAGCAUCCCCUUGCUGAAGCAAUGGACUUGAUGAGUCUUUGUGAAUUUUGAACACUUUCAGGUUGUAUUUUCCUCCCCUUUUUUUUUUUUUUUGUACAUUGUUGUGAUUCUAAAGCAUUUCAGCCUUUGUUUUGUGAGGGGUUUUUUUUGUUACAAACUAACUUCAGGUGAUUUGCACCUAGUUUGGUAAGGUGUGGGGGUUUUUUUAAGGGGGAAGCAUUGGAACAGCAAUUCAUAAAAAAGUACAUUUUAGAAAAAAAAUUAAAAAUGCUGAUUUAAUGUCAGAGUCUGGAGUCUUGACUUUGAGGCUGUUUUAGGCUUGUUGUCCAAUGACACUUGUUCACUUGAGCAUUUAUUUGAUUCUUGGUGUAUGUGGACCGAAGGUCUGACUGAUCUCUCUGAUGCAUUUGGGAGGCAGGGAAGCCUCUUCACAUUUUGUUAGUUCAUCUUUGUCCAGAUUUGUGGAGAAAGAUCUGUGGCAAAGCUAAUAGCUGAGCCCCGGGUCCUGAGCCUAAAAAGCUUUGAUGCCUGGUUGUGGAAGGUUCUUAGUUGUACUCUUAGUCCAGUCAGUUCCUUCCUUGGCACCUAGCAGAGUGCUGCUUUGUAGUUUGGCCCCUGCAUUUCACUUCUGUAAAGAGAAGCUCUUUCCCUGAGCAGGCAGGGGAGCUGUUUAACCAGAGGACUGUGACAAUGCUUCAGUCCUGCAGCCAACUGUCACCUGCAUUUGCUCGUGCAACGCGUGUGCCUUCCUCUUGUUGCUACCAGGACUUGCCGUGUGCAUGUUUGCAGUCCUCAGUCACAGGACUUGCUCACUUUUGAAAGUAAAUCCCUCUCCUUUUCUUCUCCUGCAGUGCAGGAGAAGAACACUAGUUUUUAAUCUGGAGAGGAAGAUCUAAAUACCUUCCCUCCAGCUUCCUCUGGGUCAAAUCCCAGAAACUUCUGAUUCUGGUCAGGCUUCUGAUUCUUUACCAGCUCUCUCUCCCCCUAGAAAUGCAACAAGGAUAUUAAGUGGAUAAGCCUAGAGCACGAAGCCUUCACCAGUAACUCAAGGGAACUGUUUCCCAAGCAGUGGCAGUAUUAGCUCCUGUUUCAGCUUCUCCCAGUGUUCAGCUUACAGCUUCUUAGGAGUUGCAGGUGGACCUUUUGUCCCCAGGUCUGUGUGACGGAGAUUGGCUGGGUCUGUUUCUGGCUUGCUGCGUGGACAGCUUCAAUGUGCUGGUCAUCCAGCUCCUCACUGGACUUGACUAUUGAGGAGAGGCUCUUUGGUCCUCUUUCCUUUCCAUUUUUAAUAUCAGUCCUGCAAAGUGGAGGAGAAAUACAAAUGCCUUUGGGAAUCAUUUUAGCUCCUCAUCAAGCUGCAGUCUGCUGGGGAAGUAGAUGGGAGUUUGGCACCCUCAGUGCUUAUUCCCUGCCAGUUACAGGAGUCACGUUAGUUUGCUGAAGCUUCUUUAGUGUUGGAGGUUUUUGGGUUUGUUCUUGUGUUUUUGCUGUUCUCAAAGCCUGGCUGGGGGUGAGGAUCUUAUUUACGCUUUGGUUCGUGUUGCCUUUGAUCAGGAAAGCAGCAAGGGAGGAAGUAGCACUUUGAAUAAAGAGCUGUCCUAUGUCUGAUGGUGACAGAGGACAGAGAAGGGACUGGGGUAUUGGAGGGGAUGGAGCUGUUUGCAUGUUUGGCUUUCCUGGUGUGUCAGUGAAGGGCUUGGUGCCGCAAAAGGAGGAGGACGUCUGCAAUGAGCCCAGGCUGAGAUGAGUCAUUAACAAAUGACAUGCACAGAGUACCUGGGGGAGGCAAACAGCUCUGCAGCAGCUGGUUAAUGAAUCUGGCUUGAAGGAACAGUUAGAAGCUAUUCCAGGAAUGAAGCAGAAGGCAGAGUUGUUAACAGGCAAAGAUGCAGGAGGUGCUGUGUGCUGUUUGAGAAGGACAGGACGUAAAGACUGCGUCGACACCCUGCAACUACAGGAAGGGCAACAACUCAGAGCAGAGUUUUGUGAAUUAGGGGCUGAAUUUGGGCAGUUUUGAGUGGGGAGUGCCCAGGGAGCUGAAGUGCUAUGGGGAAAAGAGGGAGGUGGAAGCAGAGGCAGAUUUGAUGCAAACUCCCAUGGAUUGCCUGUGCCUGCUGGAGGCAGCUAACACAGUUUGUCUGAGCACUGCUGGACGCUGCUCCCUGUGCAGGGCGAGCAUCCUGCCCUGCUCUGGUUUAUGGCAGCAAUGGGAUGCUCCAGCUGCAGCUCACUCCAACAUUCAGCAGGACAGACUUUGAGCUAUUGAACUUCUGUUUGCCUUUUCCACUCAGAGGGAUGGAAACUGCCUUCCCUCUGCUCUUCAGGGCUUUAUUGUCUAGCUUUGUGUUCUGCAGCUUCACUUGUACUAGUGCUUGUUUAAUAUGGAAUUGAGCACUGAGCUGGAAAAUGGAAGAGAGGAUCUCAGCUGAUUGCAGUGCUGGUAGGCUGCCCUAGCCCUCAAGCUGUGCCUCAUGCUAACAAAUGUCCCUGGCAUUCCUGCCGAGACUCAGUUUUUACCAGCUAACAUCAGGCAGUUCUGGAACAUGAUAAAGCAAUGCUGAUGUCAGUCUUUAACAGAGAAAAAAAAAAAGUUUUGGUUUGAAAAUCUCUUCUUUUACUUCCCUCCUCACCUUCUUAGCUAAGUUGAAUGCUGACUUACUCUCGUGUUGGGAGCUGGAGGGAAAGUCAAUGAUGCUGACAUACCCUUCUGUCUUCAGAUUUGUGACUUGUCCUGCACUCAAUCAUGUGCAGACUUAGGAAAUCCCAUGGAUGCUUGUGGAGCUGCUCUCAGGCUUGCAGGUCUCCCUCCAUGGAUCAUGUACAGGAGUAGGACCUGCAGAGUGGCUCUCCAGAGUGAAGCUGGAGAAAAUGAAGCUUUUGUUUCUUACAGAAGAUAGUGGUAGGAAAAAAUGGCCAUUUCCCACCAGCCCUGCAAAGUGAAUGUUGCUGAACAUGUUUCAGUUCCUGAAAGAAAGUGAAAGGAUGCAGACCCCAGAUGGUGUUUUUGGUUUUAGUGUUCUUAUCCUGUGAGGGCAAAAUGCAUUGGUCCACGUGUGUGAAGCAGACUUGGGCUUAUUCAUUGUGGGGAAGACAGAAAAAACAGUGCCCUUAUCUUUGAUAGCUGUAUUAGAACAUAAAUCACAUGGGUAAACCAGACUUUUCCUAAACUUUCAGUUCUGUACAGGUUUAUAUGAGUUCAGCUAAGCUAGAAACCACACAAAGCCCACCCCUGCACAGUAAACAGUUCAAACUUGUGCAUUUGUGGGGCUGUUGGUGCUGGGGAUUGUUAUUUUUGGUCUGAGCCUGUUGCAAACUGCAAUGCAGAAAAACAACCUUGCUCUUUAUUAUUCUCAAUAAUGGGGAAAUGGAGAAAUCUAAGAGCCUGCCCCACAAAUGCAAUAGACCCAGAUAGACCCAUCUCAGGCACCUGGUCACAAAGUUUCCUGUUGUUUUUUUUCCACCCCACUAAGUCCUCUAUAACACCUGACCUAAUGCAAGGGAACCAAAACCUGAGUCUGCAUAGCAUAUUUUUGUGUGAUCUGUGAGACAGUGACUCAAGGGCAUCAAGAAAGGUAAAUGAAAGUUUAGAGAGAUCUCAGUUCCUACCUGUAACCUCGACCUUGCAUUCUUAACAUGGAACUUUAGCCUGACAGUCUGAAUUUCUCAGCAGAGUUUUUAAUAAUAUGUCAUUGUUUCAUUCUGCUCCAUGACGAAGAUCUGUGACUCUCAGGGACAUUUUGCUGAUAGUUCCUCAAGUUUGGCCCUGCCACAGAGCUCUCAGAGGUAAGUGAUUGUACUCUGUAAAGGGAAUGUGUUUUUAUCCCCUAGCCUGGGCUGACCCUGCCUCUCAGCAUUCCCAUGGUGCUACUCCCCUCUCUGGUAGGUGAGCCAGGCAAAGGAGUGGGCAGAGCAGCACUUUGCUCCCUGUCUGUGAAUCCACAGGCACGGAUGCUUCUUUGUGCAGUGUGUACGUCUCACGACAUGCCCCAGUGCAAAUCGCCUGAGUGUGGUAGCUGUGACCAGACUUCUUCCUUGUUGAUAAGAAAAGGUGUCUCUGCUCUAGUGAUGGUGCAUACAUACACACUGGAAACUCCAGUUAGUAAUGGGAUGCCACAAGGUGAUUUAACAGUCCUGAAAUGUGCAUUUCCCCACAGAGCACAAAAGAAUUUGUGCCAGUAGUCCUUGCUUGCUCUGGUUCUAGUAGAUGAUGAGACACACUUCCACAUCCCCAGAUCUCCAAAGAGGCUUUGGAGAUCUUUGGAGCCUUUGUAUCAUUAGGAUGUAUUUGAAAUGCCCUAAUCACACAUAAUACCUCUGUGUUUCCAGAAGAGCUGAUUGUGGUGGGUAAGCAAGGCCUCACUCCAUCAGGGAUCAGCCUCUUUGUGAGUAUUUGGAGCUUGUCUGGCCAUAGGCUGUAUUUUCAUGGGUAUGAGGUUUGGAAGUAGUGCUCUCUCACCUUCGAGACUCUUCCCAAAGAUGCUGUUUAUCUCACCAGCCCUGAUGGUUCACUGUCUCAUGAUUAGCACAGUCCUAAGGCUGCUCUGUGCUGAUGCAGUAAGUAACGUCUCAGUGUUUCAUUGUCACCUUCGCAGCUGUUAGAGAGCACCAGUUCCUUCAGGAUCACCUGCCAGCUGUGGUGCUGUACCUUUUACAUCACAACUCUGAGAUGACACCUCUCCUUGCUGGCAGACAAGCCAGGUGGGUAGGCAUUGCUCCUCAGAGCUGUUCUGCAUCUCAGGAGGCGCAGGCUGUAGCCUGGUUUAGGAAAGGAAAUAAGGACAAGGACAGUGUUGUAAAUAAGGGGCAAAGCACAGAACUGUGUCCUCUUCCAGCUCUGCUGCAGCUGCAGAGAGCAACCUUGGGCAGAUCAGUUCCUCUGCAGCUGCAUUUCUCAGGACAGCCUUGCUCCUGCCUGCUGGCUGUGACAGGGUUUUGCUUUCCUGGCUGGGCAGAGGUUGGUUGCUGAUGGAGUAGAAGAAGUUGUGCAUGUACGGUAGGGGGGAAAUCUUACACCUUUAAAGCCUUGCCAGAAGUCGUCUUCUUUUUAAGUAGAUACCCUUCUUUUCCCCUGAUGUAGGUAAGGUGGUCCAUUGUGGGACUAUCAGCCUGGAGUAUUAUGGGUAAUGUACCAGGUUAAUUAAGGAGGGGGCAGGAAAAAUAGCCUGUGCAGUUUUCAACAAUAUCAAAGGGAUGCUAUCUAAUGAUUUUCCUAUUAGCUCUUUUCCCAUCCUGCCAGAGUUGCUGCAGAAGUGUCAUUUACAAAGGCAGUUUGCAACUCAUUACCCUGGAUUUUCACUGUAGUUCUGCUCCAGAGAGCGUGGGCUUUUGCUGCAUGCCCCAACCUAAUGAAUUGCCUGAUUCAGUUAGUGCUGCCAUCCCUCCUGACAAGGUUCGUCGCUGACUGACAGGAAGGGGCCUGGAUUCAAUUCCCUUCUUGUUUUUAACUCACGCUUGUGUCAGGUGCAGGCUCCCUCUGGAAGUUGCCCUGUGAUCCCUUCCCUUUGUUUUUCUGCAUCCUGAGGGAAGCAGCCCAUGCUUGGAGAAGUCCUGGAGCAAGUGGCAGGGGCAUGUGUGUUGCUGCCCCUGGCAGUCCCUGCUCCAUGCCUCAAGUCCCUUUCCAGAUGGAAAAUUCCUUUGCUCUCCUGCUCUGGGACUCUGGGCUUUUCUUUUUCUUCAUUGCUUUGGGAUUUGCUGUCACCUGAGCUGGGCUUUGUAACCCUUCAGCAAUAAGUACCUGGGAAAAGUUGCAUGAAUGGUACCAGGGAAAACAUGCAGUAUGGGCUGGGGGAACAGAACUGUUUUUCCAAACAUUAGAAGGCAACAAUGUCUCUGUUGUGAGUGCUCCAAGGUCUGCUCCAGCCUGUUUGGGCUUUGCUAGGCACUUGUACUACAGCACUGGAGGAAACUCUUUGUCCUUUUUCACUAGAGAGGUGUGUGCUUUUUCAGGCUGGGGGCCUAUGGCUCAACUCCUGCUAGGAAUUGCUCCUGGAGAGGAGAAAUCAAGGCUGUUGCUACGUCUUGUCACAAGUGUUCCCAUUCAGAAGCUGAAUUGGCUAUUUCUCAUUCAGCUGGUGGAGCAGCAAAUGCACCACCAGGUACCAUAAGUGCUAAUUUGACCUGACUAUGGAGAGGGGACCCUGGGACUCUUGCUCCCCUCGCUUUCAGAUGUGUACACACCUCUGCUAAAGGCCAUUGUCUGAGACAAUGGUUGAGGUAUCAGAUGCCAUCUCCUGAGGCUGCACCUUGCAUCCAGAACAACUGUUUUUCGCUUAUGCUGUCUGGGGCUGGGAUGUAGCAGGGGCGUUUUCUAGGGCUGGCCGUGGAUCCUUUCAUGGGAUGUUGUGAGCAUCUGACCUAGCUGGCCCACAGGGGAGGCAGUGAUGUGAGAUGAAUUUGUUUUUGCUGUACAAGAUGCCUCCUUGCCUCUUAAUUAGAUUCCUGUGGCCUCUCUUUCUUGCUGCCCUUGUUUUCUGCUGAGCCCCUGUCAGGGAGACCCAGUUGUGGCCAUUUUGGGUGAUUGCUGUGUUCUAAUGAGCCACUUCUGAUUCCCAUUCUUGCUUGUCCAGUGAAGCAGGAAAGUGCUCAUCAGUGCUCUGAGAACUGACCUCUGCUGGCAGUGCCACACUCUGCCUGUCAGACCUACUGCUCUGGCUGUGCCACAGAGGGGCUGAGAUAGAGUUGAUCUGAGCUUUCUCAAGUGUUCUUUUACCCCUCAGUGCUGCCUUCUCUCUUGCACAUCAGCUCCACCACACAUGGACAUGAUAUUCCCAUCCUGCUGGUAGGAGUCCUGAGGGAUAGGGUGUCUUAUCCCUAGUCAGACCAGAAACAGCCAAGCAAGGAACCAAGCUGUUAUCCUCUCCCUCUGCACCAGGAGCUCUAGCUCUGAUUGCUUUUCUCUGCCAAGCUAAUGGCCUUUUGCCAUACAGCUUUGCCCUUUUUCUUGGGCUUGCUCUUUCCCAGGAGGCCCAGUGGAUGGAAGGGACCCAUGCUGUGGGCUGUGCUUUUUCUCUUGGACAAUGCUGCUGAGGAGAAAUGGGGAUCCAGACUGUGCAUAACCCCAGGCUGUGAUUUUCUAUCUCCCAACCUUAUCUCAGGUUCUGCCUCACUUAGGUGGUCAAAUUGUGUGGAUUGAAUUCCUGAGACUGAGUCACUGCUGCUGUGUUGAGGACAACCCCUCUGUCACCAGGCAGGUGGUUUUAUUUCAGCUCUGGCUUGCAGCAAAAAGCCAAAAUUGGAAGGGGAAUUGUCCCCACCUUGGUCCCAGCCUGUCACUCUGUCCUGGUCACUACUCUGGCUUAAUGCUCAAGGAUGAGGACCCUGAAUGGGACCUGCAGCACCUUCUUACACCUCUGGCAGUGCAAGGUCUGCACAGUAAGCGAUUCCUUAUUGUCCUUUAGGUUUCCUGGGUGACAGUGGACAAUCCCCUCUAAUGGACAUCUCUUUAGGAGCUCCUUAUAUAGCCACUCCUUCCCUCUAAGAUGUUGUGGAGCUGGAAGGGCGACCUUCACAGAUGUGUUUGCCUUACGGAGCCCUGACAGUGGGUUGUCAUUCCCUAUGGGAGCUGCCACUUGCCCAUCCUGCCUCCCUCCCUGGCAGGGUCUUGAUUUUGUUCCCCAUAGGCAACAUCUUACGUGGUCCAUCAGCUGCUGCUCCCUGACCAGCUGGAUCCUAUGGGCACUGCGAGGUGGGUGCCUGUCUCUGAUGGAGGCUGUGCUCAUGCAAGGUCUGAAAUGUCCUCUAGGUGCUCCUAACCUG